UACAGGGGUCCCAAGCGUUGUUCGGAUUCACUGGGCGUAAAGGGUGCGUAGGUGGCGAAGUAAGUCGCAUGUGAAAUCUCGGAGCUCAACUCCGAAACUGCAUUGGAAACUACUUUGCUCGAGGGUCGGAGGGGGGACUGGAAUUCUCGGUGUAGCAGUGAAAUGCGUAGAUAUCGAGAGGAACAUCAGUGGCGAAGGCGAGUCCCUGGACGACUCCUGACACUGAGGCACGAAAGCUAGGGGAGCAAACAGG
This 253-nucleotide ribosomal RNA is filed under the name uncultured bacterium. RNAcentral describes it as "partial 16S ribosomal RNA". It matches the Rfam family "Bacterial small subunit ribosomal RNA", at positions 524 to 776 of the family's 1533-position model. The record is from RNAcentral.